UACGAAGGGGGCAAGCGUUGUUCGGAAUUACUGGGCGUAAAGGGCGCGUAGGCGGCUUAUCAAGUCAGGCGUGAAAUUCCCGGGCUCAACCUGGGGGCUGCGCUUGAUACUGAUGAGCUUGAAUGCGGGAGAGGAUAGUGGAAUUCCCAGUGUAGAGGUGAAAUUCGUAGAUAUUGGGAAGAACACCGGUGGCGAAGGCGGCUCUCUGGGACGGUACUGACGCUGAGACGCGAAAGCGUGGGGAGCGAACAGG
Molecule: ribosomal RNA, 253 nt
Filed under: uncultured bacterium
Lineage: Bacteria
Description: partial 16S ribosomal RNA
Rfam family: Bacterial small subunit ribosomal RNA
Source: RNAcentral